AUCUUAGAUUGUAUUGAUUAUUCUUCGCUGUAGCGUCUGUCUCUCUCACACACUCACGCUAGCCCUCUUUCUCUCCCUUUCUGUCUGUCCCUCCCUCCCUCUUUCUGCCUCUGUUCUGCCAUCUUCUCUACUCGCCGAUCGGCAUUUGGCUUUUUCCAUUUGUGGCAGAUUACUGUAACGCUAUUGUACAACAACUUCCUGCCUAUUUUGGCUCUGGUUCUACAAACUGCAAAAGCAGAGCUUGUGGCUUCAACUUUUUCCCCUCGACCUUUAACUAAAGGAGCUCUAUAAGGAAAGAAAAUGAGGAAGGAGAUAUGUAAAGUGUGUCGGUGGCUGAGGAACUAUUUUCAUUGCAUUUCUGCUUUAUAAACUGCUGAGAAUUAAAGAGGGCAAGAGGGGACUACAUGCCUAGCAGAGACAAUAAGAGACACGAAGGAUUCAAAAAGAAGAAGAAGAGGAAGAGAGACACAGAGAGAAAAGGAGCAAGGGAAAGUUCCUCCUGGGAACAAGCUGGAAAUUAUGGACCGAUAUCAGACCUCAGAGUGGACAACCUAUCCAAAGAGGGACGCGCCCUAACUGUAACUAACAACUACUUCUGGCAGCCCUUCAACAGCCAAACAUUGUCCUGGAUCAGGGCAGCAUGGAACUAGGGCAGCUCAGGCAAGAAAUCAUAUCAAACUACAGUAUCAAUAAUGGCAGUCAAAGUAAAUAAAUGUGUUUCCUAAUGAGGUAGAUUUAGCUGUAAAUGACGAUACCUUCAAGAUUUUAUGCAUCAUAUUUGGAGAUGUUAAGGGGAUUCAGACUAAGACAGAUUAAACAUUUCUUCACCUUGAGCCACCUGAGACAACAUGGGAAGACUCCUGACAGUUAGCGUUAGUUCAUAUUUUAUUAAAUAUUAUCUAUCCUAUUAUAAGGUGUGACAUAUAUGUUGACAAUUAGUUUGUUCAUCCUGUGAGGUUACAAGACCAUGAUGUACCACUGAUACAUAGAACACCAAUUUAACCAUAUAUCUGAAGAUCUACAUUUUCAUUUGCCACUGUUUGACAAAAGCCGAAGUAAGCACAAAUAUGUUUUGCAUUAACAUGUGAGAUGACAUUAAUUAUAACAUAUAAAAUAAUAAAAUUAAAAUAUACUACAAUGUACUUCAGAUAAAUUGAAGAACCCAUUUAAAAGUUAUUUAUUAAUUGUAAUACCCAUGUUAUUAUAAUCCUUAUGGAGGUAAUACAUCAUUUUAUCGACAUUAAUAAUGGGUAUUAAGUGGCGUUACCCAAACUGCCCUGUAAAAACAAUGAUCUUAGGCACUACACUACCUGAGCUAACGUGACAAAUUCUCAAAAGUCAAUGAGGCACAAUAAUAAAAAGCCAAUUCUCCUUUUCUGUCCACUUGACUACUGUGCCGGGCUUCUACAUACCUGAACUCUCCCUUCGCGGUUUUACCCUGAGGGCUGCUAAUGCCUGCUUUAGACAGCCUUGGCCAUUUUGUUUUAUUCUUCCUCAACACUAAGCCAGGAGUACACAGGCCUGGCAUUUUCGGGGCCACGUCACAACGCCUGUGUCUGCGCUGCAGGGCUGAAAUGAGUCCAACAGUCAAGGCACACACACUCAGCGGUUCACUCCCUCAACAAACACUUCAUGUGCACUGUUUUGUUAUCACUCUCUCUAGCAUCCUUGCUCUACUGACAACAAUAAAAACAUGAACCUAAUGUGCUUUAUCCAUUUCAUGAAGAUGCUCUCCUUCAGGUGUCUUCUCCAACACAGCCACUGAACCUUCACCUACUGAAUGAAUUGUUCUCUCUUCUGAUCGCAUUAGUAAAGUUAGCUCAGUCACAAAAGGAUACAGUAGAUACUCCCAAAUGAUUUGAGCAAUGCCAUUUAACGAGCUUGAUAAACAACUAACUGUAUCUAUAGGAAAACAAGAUGUGGUAUUUUUUAAAAGGGGACACAGUGCUGGUAUUGAAAGCAACAAGGAUAAAAACACUGAUUAAGAAAAUUCUUCUUGAGCUGGCAGCUGCUAUUGAUGUGCAUAAUGAUAACAGAGGGGUAUUUAUCAAAAACAGCACUUUAUAGGACGUAGAGCAGCGUAAACAGAGGUUUUAUUACUCUGAAGGCUAUUUUGGCCAACUUAGUGGCUCUUUCAAUUCCAGUAAAAUAUUAUUACUAAAAGAAGCAAUAGACAAAUUGGUUUCCUUUUAAAGCGGCACUCUAUAUUUCUAAAUGUGUACAUUGUACAUUUGUGGGCAAAGGUGUGAACAGCACGCGGGAAACUGUGACUUGACAGCCGCUGACCCCUCAUACCAGCUUAGAGAGGCAGAGGGUCAUUCAGAGGACAUGGCGGUGGAGGGAGAAGUCAAUCUUAUCCUUCCGUUCCGCCACAGGCCUGUGUGCAGCGACAGCAAGAUGAGCUACACGGCUUUCCAAAAUCCACACUCGUUUGGCUGGGAGCAAGGCAUCAGGGCUGUGUGUAUUUCAAAGGAAAUGCUGAGGAAAGCGUUUUUUGUGAAGGCAACUGUGCACUUGACAGUGUGUAUUAACCGGCCUCUGUGUCUUUGCUCCGUUCCUACCCUUACGCAAUAUACCUCAACAAUAUGUCAUCUUUAGUAGCCAAAAUGGCAUGCUGCCCAUUUGUCUUAGUGGAGAGUCCUACCUUGUCUCAUCUUGAUAUGGUUCUCAUGUGCACAAACAUUUUUUUGUCAUUAUCUCGGCACAUUACGAACACCUGCCAAGCAGUAUAGGCCCAAGAGGUUAAAAGGCAAGAGACAACAAAAUGAGAGCGAGAGGAAGCAUCAGCUCUCGGGCUGCUGUCAAUUGAGCCUGUGCCUCUGUAAUGGCAGGGUGGGGGGUGGGGGUGAUUACCUGGCACAGAACCAACCACUAAUGCCCCUUAAAUGCCAGAGACUGCGGCAGAAAGGAAGGGAG
Molecule: long non-coding RNA, 2916 nt
Organism: Etheostoma cragini (Arkansas darter)
Lineage: Eukaryota; Metazoa; Chordata; Actinopteri; Perciformes; Percidae
Exons: 2
Source: RefSeq, a predicted model, not a curated record